Molecule: non-coding RNA, 26 nt
Filed under: Homo sapiens (human)
Lineage: Eukaryota; Metazoa; Chordata; Mammalia; Primates; Hominidae
Source: RNAcentral
UUUGUCUGAGGAGAUAAACCAUGCGC